GACGAACGCUGGCGGCGUGCUUAACACAUGCAAGUCGAACGGAAAGGCCCUGCUUUUGUGGGGUGCUCGAGUGGCGAACGGGUGAGUAACACGUGAGUAACCUGCCCUUGACUUUGGGAUAACUUCAGGAAACUGGGGCUAAUACCGGAUAGGAGCUCCUGCUGCAUGGUGGGGGUUGGAAAGUUUCGGCGGUUGGGGAUGGACUCGCGGCUUAUCAGCUUGUUGGUGGGGUAGUGGCUUACCAAGGCUUUGAAGGGUAGCCGGCCUGAGAGGGUGACCGGCCACAUUGGGACUGAGAGACGGCCCAGACUCCUACGGGAGGCAGCAGGGGGGAAUAUUGCACAAUGGGCGGAAGCCUGAUGCAGCAACGCCGCGUGCGGGAUGACGGCCUUCGGGUUGUAAACCGCUUUCGCCUGUGACGAAGCGUGAGUGACGGUAAUGGGUAAAGAAGCACCGGCUAACUACGUG
Molecule: ribosomal RNA, 468 nt
Filed under: uncultured bacterium
Lineage: Bacteria
Description: partial 16S ribosomal RNA
Rfam family: Bacterial small subunit ribosomal RNA
Source: RNAcentral